UACGAAGGGUGCUAGCGUUGUUCGGAAUCACUGGGCGUAAAGCGCGCGUAGGCGGCUUAUCAAGUCAGGGGUGAAAUCCUUGGGCUCAACCCAAGAAUUGCCUUUGAAACUGGUAAGCUAGAGACUCGGAGGGGAUAGCGGAAUUCCUAAUGUAGCGGUGAAAUGCGUAGAUAUUAGGAGGAACACCGGUGGCGAAGGCGGCUAUCUGGACGAGUACUGACGCUGAGGCGCGAAAGCGUGGGGAUCAAACAGG
This 253-nucleotide ribosomal RNA is filed under the name uncultured bacterium. RNAcentral describes it as "partial 16S ribosomal RNA". It matches the Rfam family "Bacterial small subunit ribosomal RNA", at positions 524 to 776 of the family's 1533-position model. The record is from RNAcentral.